GUCCAGACUCCUACGGGAGGCAGCAGUGGGGAAUAUUGCACAAUGGGGGAAACCCUGAUGCAGCGACGCCGCGUGAGCGAUGAAGUAUUUCGGUAUGUAAAGCUCUAUCAGCAGGGAAGAAGAUGACGGUACCUGACUAAGAAGCCCCGGCUAACUACGUGCCAGCAGCCGCGGUAAUACGUAGGGGGCAAGCGUUAUCCGGAUUUACUGGGUGUAAAGGGAGCGUAGACGGCGAUGCAAGCCAGAUGUGAAAGCCCGGGGCUCAACCCCGGGACUGCAUUUGGAACUGUGUGGCUGGAGUGUCGGAGAGGCAGGCGGAAUUCCUAGUGUAGCGGUGAAAUGCGUAGAUAUUAGGAGGAACACCAGUGGCGAAGGCGGCCUGCUGGACGAUGACUGACGUUGAGGCUCGAAAGCGUGGGGAGCAAACAGGAUUAGAUACCCCUGUAA
This 447-nucleotide ribosomal RNA is filed under the name uncultured bacterium. Its description in RNAcentral is "bacterial SSU rRNA". It matches the Rfam family "Bacterial small subunit ribosomal RNA", at positions 329 to 793 of the family's 1533-position model. The record is from RNAcentral.